This 440-nucleotide ribosomal RNA is filed under the name uncultured bacterium. RNAcentral describes it as "partial 16S ribosomal RNA". It matches the Rfam family "Bacterial small subunit ribosomal RNA", at positions 338 to 793 of the family's 1533-position model. The record is from RNAcentral.
UCUACGGGAGGCAGCAGUCGGGAAUAUUGCGCAAUGGAGGAAACUCUGACGCAGUGACGCCGCGUGCAGGAAGAAGGUUUUCGGAUUGUAAACUUCUUUUAGGAGGGAAGAGCAGAAGACGGUACCUCUUGAAUAAGCCACGGCUAACUAAGUGCCAGCAGCCGCGGUAAUACGUAGGUGGCAAGCCUUGUCCGGAUUUACUGGGUGGAAAGGGCGUGCAGCCGGGAAGACAAGUCAGAUGUGAAAUCCCGCGGCUCAACCGAGGAACUGCAUUUGAAACUGGUUUUCUUGAGUACCGGAGAGGUCAUCGGAAUUCCUUGUGUAGCGGUGAAAUGCGUAGAUAUAAGGAAGAACACCAGUGGCGAAGGCGGAUGACUGGACGGCAACUGACGGUGAGGCGCGAAAGCGUGGGGAGCAAACAGGAUUAGAUACCCUUGUAG